GUCCACGCCGUAAACGAUGAAUGCCAGACGUCGGGUAGCAUGCUAUUCGGUGUCACACCUAACGGAUUAAGCAUUCCGCCUGGGGGAGUACGGCCGCAAGGUUAAAAACUCAAAGGAAUUGACGGGGGCCCGCACAAGCGGUGGAGCAUGUGGUUUAAUUCGAAGCAACGCGCAGAACCUUACCAACCCUUGACAUGGCAGUGACCGUUCCAGAGAUGGUUCUUUCUCGUAAGAGACACUGCACACAGGUGCUGCAUGGCUGUCGU
This 266-nucleotide ribosomal RNA is filed under the name uncultured bacterium. RNAcentral describes it as "partial 16S ribosomal RNA". It matches the Rfam family "Bacterial small subunit ribosomal RNA", at positions 793 to 1055 of the family's 1533-position model. The record is from RNAcentral.